AUUGAACGCUGGCGGCAUGCCUUACACAUGCAAGUCGAACGGCAGCACGGGAGCAAUCCUGGUGGCGAGUGGCGAACGGGUGAGUAAUGUAUCGGAAUGUACCUUUCAGUGGGGGAUAACGUAGCGAAAGUUACGCUAAUACCGCAUAUUCUGUGAGCAGGAAAGCAGGGGAUCGCAAGACCUUGCGCUGAUUGAGCGGCCGAUAUCAGAUUAGCUAGUUGGUGAGGUAAAGGCUCACCAAGGCGACGAUCUGUAGCGGGUCUGAGAGGAUGAUCCGCCACACUGGAACUGAGACACGGUCCAGACUCCUACGGGAGGCAGCAGUGGGGAAUUUUGGACAAUGGGCGCAAGCCUGAUCCAGCCAUGCCGCGUGAGUGAAGAAGGCCUCGGUUG
RNAcentral lists this ribosomal RNA (393 nucleotides) under uncultured bacterium. RNAcentral's name for it is "bacterial SSU rRNA". It matches the Rfam family "Bacterial small subunit ribosomal RNA", at positions 30 to 425 of the family's 1533-position model. The record is from RNAcentral.